AUAACGCCUGCUGGAAGAGCUGGAUGCUCUCAGCUCCGUUCUGUGAUGGAAACCCUCACCCCUAUAAAUUCUCCAGGCUUCUCCAGGUGCUUCCAAAACCUCCAUUGCAAUAUCAAAUGAUCACAGCCAAGUUACAGGGCAGAAAAGAGUUGCUGUUUUUGGAAAAUGUCUCUUUUAUCUCUUGCAAGGGGGAAGUUUCACUGUAUGCAUAAGACUACUUGAGAGAUAUAUUUUAAGAAGUGCACCGGUUACAUAUAGUAAGUUAAUAGAGUUUGCUCUGUCAGUAUGCAAAGGCGUUUUCAGCUCUUGUAGUUUGCUUACACACACAUGCACAUAUAUUUUUAAAUGCAGCUCCCCAAAGUAACAGCUGCUUGUUCUAUUUUGUGAAGGGAUUAUAUUUUUGGAGGAAGAAAAUGCUUGGUUAGAUAUAUUUUGUGAACCGUUGGCGCCAGCCCUGCGAGGACAUUUGCAUAGCACACACAGGUUCUGCAUUCAGCUCCAGCAUACUGGGAAGGAAAAAGAGACACCACGAUGGCUGCCUAGUGUCACUUCCCAUGUCACGCACCUUUGUCUCUGACAGUUGACAGUCUUAGGCUUUUCAGAAUAACACAGACACACAUUCUUGCUUGAUGUAGGAGCACGUGUGAGAUUUCAGAGCAGCCCAGACAGGAAGGGGCUGUCUAGAGCAUGGUCCUCAAUGGUUCUUAAGAAGCAAAGUCCCUGCUCCCUCUGGGUGAACACUGGCAAACACUGAGGUUACUCUCCUGUAUCCUGGCAUAUUUAGAGUUAAUCUCACACAUAGAAAUAAUCUUGAAUAGGAUAAAGGGCUGACUGAAAUCUCCACCUAGCCUGCACGAUGCUAGGCCUUUCACUCUGAUUCUGAAAAGGAAAUGUUUGAGAAAUUGAAAGAUCCAUCAAGCAGCCCUCUCUGCCACCUGCACCCCAAGCUUUGCUAAAGGUGGGCUGUUCUGCAGUCUUUUUUAAAUGCUGAAGCUGAGAGCUUGUUGCAGUCCUGUUGCAACAAGGAGAAAGGCGAACACCUUUCUUUAUGAAUGGACCAAAUGAUUGAUGCACAAUUUUCUUCCCAGGGAAAGCUUGUCAGGUUGUGGGCAUUAGUGGGCUAGUUGGUGUUAAGCCCGAUCCACGUAAAAUUCCAUUUGAUAAAUCCCAGGGAGUUUCCAGAGUUUUGUGUGUUGUGUUGUGUUUUGUUUUGCUUUGUUUCCACCUCCAGCUGGAUAUUGUGCUUGAAUUUGUGAGUCUUCUGACAAGACACAUUUCUCUUUAAAAUAGAGUGAUUUUUAAAUUGUCUUGUGAAAUCAACCCAGGUUACCUUGAGCCGUUUACUUACAUCAAGUCUACUCUUGCCAGUGUGUGCCAACAACCAGUUUGGCAAAGUGAAAUCUUAGCAUGUUUUGGAUGGUAGGAGCACUAACCUUACAGUGUUGAGGAGACAAAGAAAGCUACCAAGAUUUGUCACAUAUCUUUUUAAUUGUCCAUACCAUACCUACUAUGACUGUGUUAGACACACCACCGAAUAGAUGGUGUUCUUAGCAUCACUAUCAUAGUUUCACAUCAUUUCCUUGCCAUGGUUCUUCUAGGGAGCACUGGGGAGUCAGCCAAGAAAAAUGAGAUUAGAGGUAGUGACUUGUUUUAGUGUCCAGAAGCCCAGUAUGGAGUGGACCACAGUCCCCGGACAAGUGUGUGUAGAGCAUGCUGGCUCUUGUAUGAUUCCCAGUCUGCCUGUCUGCCUGACUUCUCUUCCUUUCCCUCUUUCUCUUUGUUGUUGUUUGAGACAGUCUUGCUACGGAGACCCAGGACUCACUUCUGCUUCUGCCUCCCAAAUGCUAGGAUCACAUACUUACUGAAAUCGUGUUCUUCCAAUUUCCUUUAAUUAGCUUGCUUUUAGAUUGGCUCGCCGCCAUCUCUAAAGCCUAGGAAAGAAGUGCAGACUUGGCUGUAAUGCCAGCAGCUUUCAGGCCAUAGUGUCGACUUCCUGCCUGCUUGUGGACAAAGGAAGUAUGCUGCUGAUGCCCAGACAGUGCCAUUUGAAUAUUAGGUGACCGUGAAACACCAUACUGCCAAGUGUCUGCAAACCAGAAGACAGUUUAGUUCAGGAAAUAUUUUGCCAAAUUCAGGGGCUUUAUUAAAAUCAAAGAGGAGAAAGAGGAAAUAUUUUGUCCUUAGAUGCUAAUAUGUUUUAGGCUUUCUUUUUCUGUUUUAUAAAGUUAACCCAGUAUUUACAUUUCCAUAUUGUGUGAAUUGAACCAUCUAAAUAUAUUUUUCUUUUGUUAUUGAAAGGUACCAAAGGCUUUUUAUGUUUUGUUUGGUUUGUUUGAUUUUAUUGUAGGGUUUGUUUUUUUUUUUCUAGAAAUACCUUUUAUAUAGACUAGUCCCCAAGUGUCUGGGUCUACUUCAGUCUGUGUAAUUGGUUUUUACCUCAGUUCAUUUGUAUUUGUCUCUCAAGGCAUUGGUGAAAUCUCAGAUUUUAUAUUCUGCUUUAAAGGGGAAUAAAUUCCAGAAAACAUG
RNAcentral lists this long non-coding RNA (2526 nucleotides) under Mus musculus (house mouse). RNAcentral's name for it is "long non-coding RNA chr9:83597757-83600283". The record is from RNAcentral. Lineage: Eukaryota; Metazoa; Chordata; Mammalia; Rodentia; Muridae.